AAGAAAUUUAAUAAUUUUGAAAAUGGAUUUUUUUUUUUUUGUUUUGGCAAGAGCAUGAGAGCUUUUACUGGGCAAGAAGACAAGAGAUGGAGAGUCCAGCCGGGCCUGCGCUUAAGUGCGCGGUCUUGCUAGGCUUGUAAGUUUCUUUCUUGCUAUUCCAAACGGUGAGAGAUUUCUGUGCUUUUGUUAUAGGACAAUUAAAACCGUUUCAAUACAACACACUGUGGAGUUUUCAUAUCUUUGCAACUUUUUCUUUGGGCAUUCGAGCAAUCGGGGCCCAGAGGUUAACAAACACAAACAAUUUUAUCUAUUCAUUAAAUUUUUGUCAAAAACAAGAAUUUUCGUAACUGGAAAUUUUAAAAUAUUAAAAACUUUCAACAACGGAUCUCUUGGUUCUCGCAUCGAUGAAGAACGCAGCGAAAUGCGAUACGUAAUGUGAAUUGCAGAAUUCCGUGAAUCAUCGAAUCUUUGAACGCACAUUGCGCCCCUUGGUAUUCCAGGGGGCAUGCCUGUUUGAGCGUCAUUUCCUUCUCAAACAUUCUGUUUGGUAGUGAGUGAUACUCUUUGGAGUUAACUUGAAAUUGCUGGCCUUUUCAUUGGAUGUUUUUUUUUUCCAAAGAGAGGUUUCUCUGCGUGCUUGAGGUAUAAUGCAAGUACGGUCGUUUUAGGUUUUACCAACUGCGGCUAAUCUUUUUUAUACUGAGCGUAUUGGAACGUUAUCGAUAAGAAGAGAGCGUCUAGGCGAACAAUGUUCUUAAAGU
Molecule: unclassified non-coding RNA, 761 nt
Filed under: Saccharomyces cerevisiae (brewer's yeast)
Lineage: Eukaryota; Fungi; Ascomycota; Saccharomycetes; Saccharomycetales; Saccharomycetaceae
Description: partial contains ITS1, 5.8S rRNA, ITS2
Rfam family: 5.8S ribosomal RNA (bases 370-523)
Source: RNAcentral